AUACGGAGGGUGCAAGCGUUGUUCGGAAUCACUGGGCGUAAAGGGCGCGCGGGCGGUUUGGUAAGUCAGAUGUGAAAGCCCACGGCUCAACCGUAGAAGUGCAUUUGAAACUGUCAGACUUGAGUACUAGAGGGGAAAGUGGAAUUCCCGGUGUAGAGGUGAAAUUCGUAGAUAUCGGGAGGAAUACCGGUGGCGAAGGCGACUUUCUGGCUAGAUACUGACGCUGAGGCGCGAAAGCGUGGGGAGCAAACAGCAUUAGAUACCCCAGUAGUCC
Molecule: ribosomal RNA, 274 nt
Filed under: uncultured bacterium
Lineage: Bacteria
Description: partial 16S ribosomal RNA
Rfam family: Bacterial small subunit ribosomal RNA
Source: RNAcentral